AUUGAAGUGGCAGAUAAUAAUGCAAUAGAGUUAAGUUCUACAAAUGAAAAAUACUUUUCCUUCAAUU
RNAcentral lists this transfer RNA (67 nucleotides) under Tonicina zschaui. RNAcentral describes it as "tRNA-Leu". Lineage: Eukaryota; Metazoa; Mollusca; Polyplacophora; Chitonida; Ischnochitonidae. The record is from RNAcentral.